RNAcentral lists this ribosomal RNA (116 nucleotides) under Neogobius melanostomus (round goby). The record is from RNAcentral. Lineage: Eukaryota; Metazoa; Chordata; Actinopteri; Gobiiformes; Gobiidae.
UUUUACGGCCAUACCACCCUGAGCACGCCCGAUCUCGUCUGAUCUCGAAGCUAAGCAGGGUCGGGCCUGGUUAGUACUUGAUGGGAGACCGCCUGGGAAUACCCGUGCAGUAAGCU